CUUGAGUCUUUCAUUGAGUUUCCGUGGGUUCUAUGAAGAUCUCAAAAUGUUCUGGAUGCGCCUUGCUCUGCUUUGUGUAGCCGCUUCCCUUGUGUACGCCAAAAAAGACAUCCCGCGGGAGAAGAUUGUGACAAUGGAUUUACAUUUACGAAAUGAGAUAUGCAACAAAAGCCCCUCCUAUGGUGGAUGUAUGGGACGUCGCGUUUUGUGGUACUACAAUGCCUACCGCCGUAAAUGCGAGCAUUUCAUCUAUUCAAACUGUGGCGGCAACAACAAUCGGUUUCACACAUAUAAGGAAUGUGCCGAACUUUGUUUCUAAUGGCAAAUCGACUCCUAACAUAUAUCUGUUUCUUUUGUAACCAUAAAUAUAUUUGUCUAAAUAAUACAAGUUACAAUUUCUAAUAUACGACGGAUACUACGAAGGGAUACUAAUAAAAUUGUCGAGUCCCUGAAUAAUCUAUAACUGAUUAGAGUGCCCAUUAGUGGUAUAAUUCAUUUGCUCUGAAGCUGAAUCCAAGCAGACUUCCUUUGCCUUCAACAGAGCAUGAUCAUGAUACUGCUUUUCGGUGUUGAAAACGGUGUUGACAAUUGUAUGUGUUUGUACUUUCAAGUUUUUACUUGUAUAGCCAUCGGAAACGGAUCCAUAAAUUGAAAUGAGAUUUCUAUAGCUGGUAGCUUCAAGGGCAGUCUUGAUUUGUACCGGGAGAAUCGAUGACACUAUUUCUAACCACUGUUCCCACAUUGAGUAAUGCAAGAGUAUGUACGUUUCCACAUCGAAAGUUUUGGAUCACUUGGGAUGCUUAAUUUAGAAGCCAGCUGGGAGAAAACUUUUUGCUUUGUAGAAAGCCCUUUCUUUCAUUCAACGCUGGGUGCUCUGUGAACUAUAAAUGGCAGAAGCUUGGCUCUGAGCUGGUCAUUCGCUGGCAGGAAGAUCUCAUCUCAAUAUGUUAUGGUUGCGCAUUGCAAUUAUUUCUUUGCUCGCUUGGAUUGUGUAUUCCGCAGUUAAUAAAGAUAUUUUUGAGGAUAAUUGGUUUAAGGAGCUUCAACGGAAGUUACACAAAGAUGUCUGCCUCCAGCAACCUUCCUAUGGCAAAUGCAAAGGACAUCGCCGGCUUUGGUACUUCAAUGGCAGUCGGAAGAAAUGCGAGACGUUCAUCUAUUCGAACUGCGGCGGUAACCCUAAUCGUUUUUACAACUAUGAAGAUUGCCACGACUUUUGCCAAAAACGCGACCCGUUUACUAUCUAUAAAUCUAUACAAAUGAAUGAUUGGGUAAAAGGGAAUAUAAAAUAGCCAAAUAAAAUAAAUAUUCUUUAAAAUAAAUCUUGAAUCUAAAACACUUGAA
This is a long non-coding RNA of Drosophila pseudoobscura, 1344 nucleotides long. RefSeq lists it as uncharacterized. The transcript is spliced from 3 exons. Lineage: Eukaryota; Metazoa; Arthropoda; Insecta; Diptera; Drosophilidae. The record is from RefSeq and is a predicted model, not a curated record.